Molecule: long non-coding RNA, 231 nt
Organism: Eurytemora carolleeae
Lineage: Eukaryota; Metazoa; Arthropoda; Copepoda; Calanoida; Temoridae
Exons: 3
Source: RefSeq, a predicted model, not a curated record
CUCUGUAUUAUCUGGCUAGUGUUACGGGAAUGCUUGAAGUAAAAGUGGACUUAUCUCUGCAUCUCUCCUCAAUUCUCCAGUCACUAAUAUACGUAGUGUUCGUACAGUACGCAGAUUUGACGCAAAAACUACGGUAAAGGGUCUGCCUAUACCUGGCCUAGUAGUACCAGCCCCCCGGAUUGACCGGCCUUACCAUAAUACUGCUCAGAGUGGAUAUCCGUCCUGCUGUAG